ACGGCUCAGUAACACGUGGACAAUCUAACCUAAGGUGGGGGAUAACCCCGGGAAACUGGGGAUAAUACCCCAUAGACUAUAGAUGCUGGAAUGCUUUGUAGUCGAAAGGUCAGCCGCCAUAGGAUGGGUCUGCGGCCGAUUAGGUAGUUGUUGGGGUAACGGCCCAACAAGCCUGUAAUCGGUACGGGUUGUGGGAGCAAGAGCCCGGAGAUGGAUUCUGAGACACGAAUCCAGGCCCUACGGGGCGCAGCAGGCGCGAAAACUUUACAAUGCGGGAAACCGUGAUAAGGGAACUCCGAGUGCCCGUUAAAUCGGGCUGUCCAUCAGUUUAAAAACUGGUGAAGAAAGGGCCGGGCAAGACCGGUGCCAGCCGCCGCGGUAAUACCGGCGGCUCGAGUGGUGGCCACUAUUACUGGGCUUAAAGCGUUCGUAGCUGGUUUGUUAAGUCUCUGGGGAAAUCUUCCGGCUUAACCGGAAGGCGUCUCAGGGAUACUGGCAGACUAGGGACCGGAAGAGGUGAGGGGUACUCCAGGGGUAGGAGUGAAAUCCUGUAAUCCUUGGGGGACCACCUGUGGCGAAGGCGCCUCACCAGGACGGCUCCGACAGUGAGGGGCGAAAGCUGGGGGAGCAAACCGGAUUAGAUACCCGGGUAGUCCCAGCCGUAAACGAUGUGCGUUAGGUGUAUCGGUGACCACGAGUCACCGAGGUGCCGAAGAGAAAUCGUGAAACGUACCGCCUGGGAAGUACGGUCGCAAGGCUGAAACUUAAAGGAAUUGGCGGGGGAGCAC
Molecule: ribosomal RNA, 788 nt
Filed under: uncultured archaeon
Lineage: Archaea
Description: bacterial SSU rRNA
Rfam family: Archaeal small subunit ribosomal RNA
Source: RNAcentral